CAUUACUCCUACGGGAGGCAGCAGUGGGGAAUAUUGGACAAUGGGGGCAACCCUGAUCCAGCAAUGCCGCGUGAGUGAUGAAGGCCUUCGGGUCGUAAAGCUCUUUUACCAGGGAUGAUAAUGACAGUACCUGGAGAAUAAGCUCCGGCUAACUCCGUGCCAGCAGCCGCGGUAAUACGGAGGGAGCUAGCGUUGUUCGGAAUUACUGGGCGUAAAGCGCACGUAGGCGGUUACUCAAGUCAGAGGUGAAAGCCCGGGGCUCAACCCCGGAACUGCCUUUGAAACUAGGUGACUGGAAUCUUGGAGAGGCGAGUGGAAUUCCGAGUGUAGAGGUGAAAUUCGUAGAUAUUCGGAAGAACACCAGUGGCGAAGGCGACUCGCUGGACAAGUAUGACGCUGAGUGCGAAAGCCUGGAAAGCC
RNAcentral lists this ribosomal RNA (420 nucleotides) under Novosphingobium sp. RNAcentral's name for it is "bacterial SSU rRNA". It matches the Rfam family "Bacterial small subunit ribosomal RNA", at positions 331 to 770 of the family's 1533-position model. Lineage: Bacteria; Pseudomonadati; Pseudomonadota; Alphaproteobacteria; Sphingomonadales; Sphingomonadaceae. The record is from RNAcentral.